This 301-nucleotide ribosomal RNA is filed under the name uncultured bacterium. RNAcentral describes it as "partial 16S ribosomal RNA". It matches the Rfam family "Bacterial small subunit ribosomal RNA", at positions 509 to 807 of the family's 1533-position model. The record is from RNAcentral.
CAGUAGCCACGGGAAUACGUAGGUGGCAAGCGUUGUCCGGAAUUAUUGGGCGUAAAGGGCUCGCAGGCGGUUUCUUAAGUCUGAUGUGAAAGCCCCCGGCUCAACCGGGGAGGGUCAUUGGAAACUGGGAAACUUGAGUGCAGAAGAGGAGAGUGGAAUUCCACGUGUAGCGGUGAAAUGCGUAGAGAUGUGGAGGAACACCAGUGGCGAAGGCAACUCUCUGGUCUGUAACUGACGCUGAGGAGCGAAAACGUGGGGAGCGAACAGGAUUAGAUACCCCUGUAGUCCCUGUCUCUUAUAC